GAUGAAGAACGUAGCAAAAUGCGAUACGUAAUGUGAAUUGCAGAAUUCAGUGAAUCAUCGAGUCUUUGAACGCACAUUGCGCCCCCUGGUAUUCCGGGGGGCAUGCCUGUCCGAGCGUCAUUGCUGCCCUCAAGCCCGGCUUGUGUGUUGGGUCUCGUCCCCCUUCCCGGGGGGACGGGCCCGAAAGGCAGCGGCGGCACCGUGUCCGGUCCUCGAGCGUAUGGGGCUUUGUCACCCGCUCUGUAGGCCCGGCCGGCGCUUGCCGAUCAACCAAAACUUUUUUCCAGGUUGACCUCGGAUCAGGUAGGGAUACCCGCUGAACUUAAGCAUAUCAAUAAGCGGAGGA
RNAcentral lists this unclassified non-coding RNA (346 nucleotides) under soil metagenome. RNAcentral describes it as "partial contains 5.8S ribosomal RNA, internal transcribed spacer 2, and large subunit ribosomal RNA". The stretch from base 1 to 120 matches the Rfam family "5.8S ribosomal RNA", at positions 35 to 154 of the family's 154-position model. The record is from RNAcentral.